UAGGUACCUACACUUAAACGUCGAAAAUUAUUUCCUUCCCUCACAAUGAUUAUUGUUUUAAGUAUAUAAAGGACAGUCAAAGACUGCAUUCGUUAGUUCUCAAGCUACAGUGGUUUUAUAGUUAUUAGUGGCAACUAAGUACAGUAACCAUGAUGAAAUAUUGUACAUUGCUGGUACUAAGCGCAUUCGUGUGCAUUUCGUUAGCGUGUAUUGGGCUGGAGGACCCCAUCUGUGGCACAGACGGUAGAACGUACACCAAUGAAUGCACCUUUGAUAGAGCCAGGAAAUUCAAUCCAAGUUUACAAAUAAAAACCAAAGGUAAAUGCGGUCGAACGCUUCGAUCCUUGCCGUGUACUGAGGAAGUCAAUGAGUUUUGUGGCACUGACGGUGUUACGUAUAAAAACUUGUGCUACUACAAUGAAGCAGCCAAAACUGGCAAUAUCGAAAUGAAGCAUCGCGGACCGUGUGAUACAGACUCAACCAAAAACGCAAGCGAGGAACUGAAACAAACGAAUGCCGCAGUAAGGAGCCCGCGAGCAGCCAAACCAGGUUGCCCAUGUACUCGCGAGAAGAACGAAAUGUGUGGGACGGAUGGGGCUACCUACCCCAACCCUUGUACACUGCGAUGCGCCACGAAGUACAAUGGCGUUAAGCUACUUCACCAAGGACCGUGUAAGAAGUAACAGAGCGAGAGAUACUGCGUGACCUCCCUUUUUAGAAAGGUUUAAAUUCAUUAUUUUGCUUACUAAUACUCUAUUCUGUGUACCUACCUACUUCUUCUUAAUUGGCCACGCUAACGGCAUUGUCAGUAGCUUCGUGAAGGUCUUUAAUAGUGCGUAGUUCUAUCGUUGAACUAGUGAGAGCACUUAGGACAAAUACCUACCUAUUUAUUUCUAAAAUAAAUGUUUUUCAAAGUACCUACUAUGUAUAAUCAGGCGUGGACUGAGACCUGAAACCGGCACGGGCAUUUGAGAGACGAACGGGACAACGGUCCUUAACACAAAACCAUAAGGAAUACUUAUGGAACGGAAACUCCGCUCCUCACCACCGUCUGAGCUAGGUUUACCUCACCCCCGCCGGACGUAGACCAAUCUGUCUGUUUGGGCAAAGGCCUCCCCCAUUUUUCUCCAUUCUUCUUUGUUGUGUACUAAUCUGAUCCAGGUCUUAGUGUGUCCAGCCAUUGGAAUUAUUACGGCUUCUCAUUAAUUACUAAGUAAUUAUAUUUUACUUAUUUUACAUCAUAAUUGUACUCGUAUAUCAAACAUUAACAACUAAGGCAAUUACGAAAAUUAAAACUUAAAGACUUAUAUUGACAAUUACAGUGUACAUAGCAUAUACAAAUGAAAAAUGAAAAAUUUAGUUAACAAAGCAUGCUUUAUUUACCUAUGAAUAAAUUAUGAAAUUAC
Molecule: long non-coding RNA, 1406 nt
Organism: Pectinophora gossypiella (pink bollworm)
Lineage: Eukaryota; Metazoa; Arthropoda; Insecta; Lepidoptera; Gelechiidae
Exons: 2
Source: RefSeq, a predicted model, not a curated record